RNAcentral lists this transfer RNA (91 nucleotides) under Arenimonas maotaiensis. RNAcentral describes it as "tRNA-Ser". It matches the Rfam family "tRNA". Rfam says of the family: Transfer RNA (tRNA) molecules are approximately 80 nucleotides in length. Their secondary structure includes four short double-helical elements and three loops (D, anti-codon, and T loops). RNAcentral also lists the same sequence under 6 other names. The record is from RNAcentral. Lineage: Bacteria; Pseudomonadati; Pseudomonadota; Gammaproteobacteria; Lysobacterales; Lysobacteraceae.
GGAGAGGUGGCAGAGUGGUCGAAUGUACCUGACUCGAAAUCAGGCGUACGUUUAUAGCGUACCGAGGGUUCGAAUCCCUCCCUCUCCGCCA